Molecule: long non-coding RNA, 710 nt
Organism: Ochotona curzoniae (black-lipped pika)
Lineage: Eukaryota; Metazoa; Chordata; Mammalia; Lagomorpha; Ochotonidae
Exons: 3
Source: RefSeq, a predicted model, not a curated record
ACCCCGACACCCCUCGUCCCUCCCCCAACCGCCCCGCACGGACAGACAGGAGGAGGUUCGUCGUCACCGCUGUUGCCUCCAGCUGCUACUGCCGCCGCCAGUGCCACGUGCCUUGAAAGACAGUGACUGGCGAAGCCCGAACCAACGCACUGAACAGAAGGAUCCUGCAUUGUCCAGAAAGCACACAGACGGAGCGUGAUGGGUCUUUUUCCAUAGCGGUGAAAGAGGUUGACACCUGCACACAUAGGAGCGACUUAAAAUAGAACUUGGCAAACAGGGAUCCUCUCCGGAUCAGGCUCGGCUCCACAAACAGCUCUUGAACUCACUUCCCAGUCCAACAAAAACAGGAGGGAGGGGGGAAAGCUGCCCUGUGAGACACAGUGGGGCAUUUUGGUAGGAGCGGCAAAAUUUAAAAACCAAGUGUGAUGCCAGCUGAUAAGGAUGUGUCCUUUUUGAUAGCCCUGCACAGCCCAGUGGACUUCUGAAAAUACAGAUUAUUCUCACCAGCAACCUUGUUCUUUGGGAAAAUUAGGUUUCUGUGUCCACAUAGAGACAGAAGCAAGCCAGGGGGGCGGGGAGAAAAGAAUGCUUUUAGUUUUAAAGAACUAAAAGGUACUCCAUGAUCUUGCUACUAGUAUUGAAUAAAAACUACAUAACACAUAAGACUGCUGGUUUCCUCCUCCAAAUAAAAGACGUGAUUUCUUUUCUAA